Molecule: non-coding RNA, 72 nt
Organism: Potamilus streckersoni
Lineage: Eukaryota; Metazoa; Mollusca; Bivalvia; Unionida; Unionidae
Source: the annotation of a GenBank genome assembly
AGCUGUGGCCUAAGUGGUUAUAGCGUCCGCCUCGGAUGAGGGAGGUCAUGGGAUCAAUCCCUGGCUGAGUCA